GAAGCUGGGAAAGGGCACACGGAGGAUGCCUAGGCGGCGGGAGCCGAAGAAGGACGUGCUAAGCUGCGAAAAGCCCGGGGGAGGUGCACAGGACCUGAGAUACCGGGAUAUCCGAAUGGGAGAACCUGCAUACCUGGAGGGUAUGCGCGAGAGAGGUAAGCCGGCGAACUGAAACAUCUAAGUAGCCGGAGGAAAAGAAAGUAAAGACGAUUCCCUGAGUAGCGGCGAGCGAACGGGGAGGAGCCUAAACCGUAGAUGUGUUAAAGCUGGCGGCGUUGCAUCUGCGGGGUAGAGGGAACAUGCUGGGCUGAAGCCAUAAGGCCGGGUGUAUCAUGACGUAAGCGGAACGCGGCUGGAAAGCCGGACCGUAGGAGGUGAGAGUCCUGUAGAGCGUAAAGUGAUGAUAUGCCGUAUGUAAUCCCGAGUAGCAUCGGACACGAGGAAUCCGGUGUGAAUCAGCGUGGACCAUAUCACGUAAGGCUAAAUACUUCCGCCGACCGAUAGAGGAGAGUACCGUGAGGGAAAGGUGAAAAGAACCCUGAGCAAGGGAGUGAAAAAGAAUUUGAAACCGUGUGCUUACAAGCGGUAGGAGCGCGAAAGCGUGACUGCGUGGAUUUUGGUUAAUCAUCCUGCGAGUUAUGAUGUGUGGCGAGGUUAAGUAAAAGCGGAGCCGAAGGGAAACCGAGUCUUAAUAGGGCGACGAGUCGCAUGUCAUAGACGCGAAACCUAGUGAUCUAGGCCUGUCCAGGCUGAAGCUGAGGUAAGACUCAGUGGAGGGCCGAACUCACCGCCGUUGAAAAGUUGGGAGAUGAGGCAGGUUUAGGGGUGAAAAGCCAAUCGAACUAGGAGAUAGCUCGUUCUCUCCGAAAUGCAUUUAGGUGCAGCCUUAGUUGAAGAUAUGCGGGGGUAGAGCACUGUAUGGCCUAGGGGGCGUAUAGCUUACCGAAGUCAAGCAAACUUCGAAUACCGUAUAUUGUUAACUGGGAGUGAGUCUAUGGAUGACAAGGUCCGUGGACGAGAGGGGAACAGCCCAGACCGCCGGCUAAGGUCCCAAAUCAUGUCUAAGUGGGAAAGGAGGUGGAUAUUCACAGACAACCAGGAGGUUGGCUUAGAAGCAGCCAUACCUUGAAAGAGUGCGUAAUAGCUCACUGGUCGAGAGUAUCUGCGCCGAAGAUGUAACGGGGCUAAGACAUAAACCGAAGCUGCGGAGGCGUGCUUGCACGCCUGGUAGGAGAGCGUUCUGUAGGCCGUUGAAGGAAUGCCGCAAGGCCAUUCUGGAGGUAUCAGAAGUGAGAAUGCAGGAAUGAGUAGCGAGAAGGAGGGCGAGAAUCCCUCCGGCCGGAAGUCCAAGGUUUCCAGGGGAAGGUUUGUCCGCCCUGGGGGAGUCGGGACCUAAGCAUAAGCAGAGCUGCGAAGGCGAAUGGAAAACAGGUUAAUAUUCCUGUACCGCUGUGUACUGUCUGAGAGAUGGAGUGACGCAGGAAGGUAUGCGGGAAGGCUGACGGAAUAGCCUUUCUAAGGGUGAAGCGUGGACAUGCAGGCAAAUCCGCAUGUUUAUACGUGAGGCCUGAUGGGGAAGUGCCAUAUGGCAUAAGCCGCAGAUCCUACACUGCCGGGAAAAACUUCUAUUGAGGGAAACAGCGCCCGUACUGUAAACCGACACAGGUGGACAGAGUGAGAAACUUAAGGCCGACAGGACAACUCUGGCUAAGGAACUCUGCAAAAUGGCCCCGUAACUUAGGGAGAAGGGGUACCCGUGAUACCUGAAGGGAGAGACACCUGAAGGGGAGACGGGUCGCAGUGAAGAGUCCCAAGCAACUGUUUACCAAAAACACAGGUCUAUGCUAAGCUGGAAGGCGACGUAUAUGGGCUGACACCUGCCCAGUGCCGGAAGGUUAAGAGGAGGAUUGAGAGAUUCGAAUUGAAGCCCCGGUGAACGGCGGCCGUAACUAUAACGGUCCUAAGGUAGCGAAAUUCCUUGUCGGGUAA
This 1989-nucleotide ribosomal RNA is filed under the name human metagenome. RNAcentral's name for it is "bacterial LSU rRNA". It matches the Rfam family "Bacterial large subunit ribosomal RNA", at positions 1 to 1979 of the family's 2925-position model. The record is from RNAcentral.